CAUCAGAGCGGUGCUGGCCGC
Molecule: non-coding RNA, 21 nt
Filed under: Arabidopsis thaliana (thale cress)
Lineage: Eukaryota; Viridiplantae; Streptophyta; Magnoliopsida; Brassicales; Brassicaceae
Source: RNAcentral